GAUGAACGCUGGCGGCGUGCCUAACACAUGCAAGUCGAGCGGACACACGAUGAGCGCUCUCCUCUGACGUUAGCGGCGGACGGGUGAGUAACACGUGCAUAACCUACUUCUUAGACGUGGAUAACUUCGGGAAACCGCAUCUGAUACCACAUAACACGUCCUACCGCUUGGAUCAACAGUUAAAGACGCUCUUGCCGUCACUAAUAGAUGGAUCCGCGUCGCAUUAGCUAGUUGGUAAGGUAACGGCCUACCAAGGCAACGAUGCGUAGCCGACCUGAGAGGGUGAUCGGCCACACUGGAACUGAGACACGGUCCAGACUCCUACGGGAGGCAGCAGUAGGGAAUAUUGGGCAAUGGGCGAAAGCCUGAUGCAGCAACGCCGCGUGAGUGAAGAAGGUCUUCGGGUCGUAAAGCCCUGUUGUUGGGGAAGAAAAAAUGUGUAUGUAAAUAUCGCUGUUUUGACGGUACCUAAAGAGAAAGCACCGGCUAACUACGUG
This 497-nucleotide ribosomal RNA is filed under the name uncultured bacterium. RNAcentral's name for it is "partial 16S ribosomal RNA". It matches the Rfam family "Bacterial small subunit ribosomal RNA", at positions 28 to 507 of the family's 1533-position model. The record is from RNAcentral.